Molecule: non-coding RNA, 114 nt
Organism: Acanthosepion pharaonis
Lineage: Eukaryota; Metazoa; Mollusca; Cephalopoda; Sepiida; Sepiidae
Source: the annotation of a GenBank genome assembly
UAUGGCCAUAUCAUGUUGAAACAUUGGUUCCCUUACGAUCACCAAAGUUAAGCAAUGUUGAGCCUGGUCAGUACCUAGAUAAGAGUAAUCACUUUGGAAUACUAGGUGCUGUAA